GGAUUUUUUUCCUCGGGGCCUCCCCCGGGAGGCCGUCCCGGCGUGGGGGAGGGGAGGACGGCGCGGGAGGAAGCGGUUCGGUCGGCUGCAGCGCUACUUUUGGUCCGGGGUCGGCAGGGAGGCCGCGGCUACCGCAUCACAGCUGACGUGAGGACUACGUGGGGCCGCUGCCGGCUCCGGGUUGCUGGGCGGCGGCGCCGCUGCUGAGCGGCGGUCGGGCUCGCCGUCUCCACCUCCUCGCGUCCGUAAUCAGUGACGAGGUCCGCUACGUAAAUCCCUUUGCGGCGGGUAGCAGCAAUUGCAGAGACAGAUGAAUCUGCAGAAUCAGAAGGUGUAAUUGAUUCUCAUAAACGUAGAGAAAUCCUUUCACGAAGACCCUCUUAUAGGAAAAUACUGAAUGAACUGUCCUCUGAUGUGCCUGGUGUUCCCAAGAUUGAAGAAGAGAGAUCAGAGGAAGAAGGAACACCACCUAGUAUUGCUACCAUGGCAGUACCAACUAGCAUAUAUCAGACUAGCACGGGGCAAUACAGUAUGUAUGCUGCAAUUCGAUAUGAUACAGUGCUAGCUUUAAGUCUUCUCUAGUUAUAUUGAAGCAACUCAGGUUUUGGCAUUAAAUUGUUCCAUUUUAAAAUGCAUCAUUAAUACCUAAACUGUAUCAUAGAAUGAAAGUAUAUGUUAAAAAGUGAGAUCUUUGUAUUGACAGCUGUCAUAUAAUUUUGAAAAGUAAAAAUUUUGACUGCCGAAUAUAGAAGAAAAUUUUGGGGUAAAAAGGAGAAUUUUUCCUAUUUACAUGUUUAUAUUAAUCUCUAGUAAAACAUUGUUUUUGUUGUCUUUAUGAUGCAUGCAAACAUAAAUGUCUGUAUUUCAUUCUUGUUGGCUUUUGUUACCCACAAUUACAUACUAUUCUUACUAAUCUGAGAGUUUUCUAAAGUAUGUUUUCAAUGUUUCACUACUCUCUACUCUGUUAAUUUGUGCUACAGUUUUUCCUAAAAGAGAAUGGAAAAAUGAUUUAAUUUUUUAAA
Molecule: small RNA, 1022 nt
Filed under: Pan troglodytes (chimpanzee)
Lineage: Eukaryota; Metazoa; Chordata; Mammalia; Primates; Hominidae
Description: processed transcript
Source: RNAcentral